RNAcentral lists this ribosomal RNA (677 nucleotides) under uncultured archaeon. RNAcentral's name for it is "bacterial SSU rRNA". It matches the Rfam family "Archaeal small subunit ribosomal RNA", at positions 321 to 999 of the family's 1478-position model. The record is from RNAcentral.
CCCUAUGGGGUGCAGCAGUUACGAAACCUUUACGAUGCACGAAAGUGUGAUAAGGGGAUCCCAAGUGCCAUAGUUUUACUAUGGCUGUGGAGAAGUGUAAAGUACUUUUCAAGAAAGGGGUGGGUAAUACCGGUGCCAGCAGCCGCGGUAACCCCGGAGCCCCAAGUGGUGACCAUGUUUAUUGGGCCUAAAGCGCUCGUAGCAGGAUUAGUAAGUUCUCGGUGAAAUUGUUUAGCUUAACUGAACGAAUUGCCUUGAAUACUGCUAGUCUAGGGAUAGGGAGAGGUCAGUAGUAUGCCUGGGGGAGGGGUAAAAUCCUUUAAUCCUGGGUAGACUAUCAAUGGCGAAGGCAACUGACUGGAACUAGUCCGACUGUGAGGGACGAAAGUUAGGGUAGCAAACGGGAUUAGAUACCCCGGUAGUCCUAACCGUAAACGCUGUCCGCUGGGUGUUGCGCAUUCCUAGAGUCUGUGCAGUGCCGUAGAGAAGUCGUUAAGCGGACCGCCUGGGGAGUACGGUCGCAAGGCCGAAACUUAAAGGAAUUGGCGGGGGAGCACAACAAGGGGGGGCACCUGCGGUUUAAUUGGAUUCAACGCCGGAAAUCUCACCAGAGGCGACAGCAGUAUGAAGGCCAGAUUAAAGGUCUUGCCUAACGCGCUGAGAGGUAGUGCAUGGCC